GACGAACGCUGGCGGCGUGCUUAACACAUGCAAGUCGAACGGAAAGGCCCUGCUUUUGUGGGGUGCUCGAGUGGCGAACGGGUGAGUAACACGUGAGUAACCUGCCCUUGACUUUGGGAUAACUUCAGGAAACUGGGGCUAAUACCGGAUAGGAGCUCCUGCUGCAUGGUGGGGGUUGGAAAGUUUCGGCGGUUGGGGAUGGCCUCGCGGCUUAUCAGCUUGUUGGUGGGGUAGGGGCUUACCAAGGCUUUGACGGGUAGCCGGCCUGAGAGGGUGACCGGCCACAUUGGGACUGAGAUACGGCCCAGACUCCUACGGGAGGCAGCAGUGGGGAAUAUUGCACAAUGGGCGGAAGCCUGAUGCAGCAACGCCGCGUGCGGGAUGACGGCCUUCGGGUUGUAAACCGCUUUCGCCUGUGACGAAGCGUGAGUGACGGUAAUGGGUAAAGAAGCACCGGCUAACUACGUG
Molecule: ribosomal RNA, 468 nt
Filed under: uncultured bacterium
Lineage: Bacteria
Description: partial 16S ribosomal RNA
Rfam family: Bacterial small subunit ribosomal RNA
Source: RNAcentral